UCCUGUGGACCCCUGAGGAUGCACCUGGACCACUUUGGGAAUCACUAGUGUAAAGCUUGUUGAGAUUUAUCAUUGAAGCGUGUGUAAAGAUUUUCGCGAACGCACUGUAUUUACUAUGUGAGGCCAAGAGCUGAAAGAAAUCAAAAUAAUGUUAAAAGUAUAAAUGAAUAUGUCAAAUAAGAAUUUAUAAAUGGCAUUUUUGACAUCUGAAAAUUACGGGAGGUUAAUUAAAAUAUUUUGAGAUAAAAUUCAUCUGAUAAUAAAAAAAUGUGGAUAUAGCAGAAUAUUAUACUAAUUCAAAGAUAAUUAUUUUUUCAACUCGAGAUUGAAGUCGGAAACUCAUCAGACAUCCCCGGGUGGCAAGAUGGGCCAGAUAUUUCCCAUGACGAGUCUUCAUUAAAGAACGCCAUAUUUCUAUUUAUUUGAAGAAAUUUAUGAAUUAAAUAAAUCUCAACAAGCGACGCCACUGUUUAUCGCAGACUGUCUGCCAGGAAUAUUUCGAAGAAAUUGUGUACAUACGGCUUCGGCUAAUAGAAAUGCAUUAUUUUCCGUUUUAUGGAUAUUCGCCCUCUGAAACUAACUUUUUCAUUAAAGUCAAAUCGCCAUAUUAUAGUUGUAUGCUGAGAACAGGAUCACCAUUUCCCGAUUUUGAAGUAUGACCCUGUAGAAUAACAAGCGAAAACGUUAUGUUUUUUCCAUUGAAGAACAGCUCAGCAGGAUAUUAUGAAAUCCAAUAAAAUUUAAGUCUCAAGCGGCAAGACUUCAAAGGCUAAAAUUUAGGCAGUUAUUGUAACUGAACAGGCAUUCUUUUACGCCAUAUACGUGAUGUAUCUUCCGUGGUAGUCGUCCGAUGAAUAUUUAACUCGGUAUUAUGUUUAUCUUGUAGAUUCAUGUACAUGAUGGAAUAAAGUGUUUAUAUGA
Long non-coding RNA from Diorhabda carinulata, 921 nucleotides. RefSeq lists it as uncharacterized. The transcript is spliced from 3 exons. The record is from RefSeq and is a predicted model, not a curated record. Lineage: Eukaryota; Metazoa; Arthropoda; Insecta; Coleoptera; Chrysomelidae.